CUACGGGGGGCAGCAGUGGGGAAUAUUGCACAAUGGGCGCAAGCCUGAUGCAGCAACGCCGCGUGAGGGAUGAAGGCCUUCGGGUUGUAAACCUCUUUUAGCAGAGAAGAAGCGAAAGUGACGGUACCUGCAGAAAAAGCACCGGCUAACUACGUGCCAGCAGCCGCGGUAAUACGUAGGGUGCAAGCGUUGUCCGGAAUUAUUGGGCGUAAAGAGCUCGUAGGCGGUUUGUCACGUCUGCUGUGAAAAUCCAAGGCUCAACCUUGGACUUGCAGUGGGUACGGGCAGGCUAGAGUGCGGUAGGGGAGAUGGGAAUUCCUGGUGUAGCGGUGGAAUGCGCAGAUAUCAGGAGGAACACCAAUGGCGAAGGCACAUCUCUGGGCCGUAACUGACGCUGAGGAGCGAAAGCGUGGGGAGCGAACAGGAUUAGAUACCCGGGUGGUC
RNAcentral lists this ribosomal RNA (444 nucleotides) under uncultured bacterium. RNAcentral's name for it is "partial 16S ribosomal RNA". It matches the Rfam family "Bacterial small subunit ribosomal RNA", at positions 339 to 795 of the family's 1533-position model. The record is from RNAcentral.